RNAcentral lists this ribosomal RNA (519 nucleotides) under uncultured bacterium. RNAcentral's name for it is "bacterial SSU rRNA". It matches the Rfam family "Bacterial small subunit ribosomal RNA", at positions 371 to 885 of the family's 1533-position model. The record is from RNAcentral.
CUGGGGGGACCUGAUCAGCGACGCCGCGUGGGUGAAGAAGGCCUGCGGGUUGUAAAGCCCUUUCAGUGGGGAAGAAAAGCCUCGAGUUAACACCUCGGGGUCUUGACGUAACCCAUAGAAGAAGCACCGGCUAACUCUGUGCCAGCAGCCGCGGUAAUACAGAGGGUGCGAGCGUUAAUCGGAAUUACUGGGCGUAAAGCGCGCGUAGGCGGCUUUGCAAGUCGGGUGUGAAAUCCCCAGGCUUAACCUGGGAACUGCAUUCGAGACUGCGUUGCUAGAGUAUGGGAGAGGGAAGUGGAAUUUCCGGUGUAGCGGUGAAAUGCGUAGAUAUCGGAAGGAACAUCAGUGGCGAAAGCGACUUCCUGGACCAAUACUGACGCUCAUGUGCGAAAGCGUGGGGAGCAAACAGGAUUAGAUACCCUGGUAGUCCACGCCAUAAACGAUGACAACUGGAUGUCGGGAGGGUCUGCCUCUCGGUGUCGUAGCUAACGCGUUAAGUUGUCCGCCUGGGGAGUACGG